This is a non-coding RNA of Acanthosepion pharaonis, 110 nucleotides long. NCBI's taxonomy places the organism in Eukaryota, Metazoa, Mollusca, Cephalopoda, Sepiida, Sepiidae. The record is from the annotation of a GenBank genome assembly.
CAGCCACAUCACAUUGAAACACUAGUUCUCAUACGAUCACCAAAGUUAAGCAAUGUCGAGCCUGAUCAGUACCUACAUGAGUGACUGCUUGGGAAUACCAGGUGCUGUAA